RNAcentral lists this ribosomal RNA (253 nucleotides) under uncultured bacterium. Its description in RNAcentral is "partial 16S ribosomal RNA". It matches the Rfam family "Bacterial small subunit ribosomal RNA", at positions 524 to 776 of the family's 1533-position model. The record is from RNAcentral.
GACAGAGGUGCCGAGCGUUAGGCGGAAUCACUGGGCUUAAAGCGUGUGUAGGCGGCGGCGUAAGUACCUUGUGAAAUCCCACGGCUCAACCGUGGAACUGCUCGGUAUACUGCGUCGCUUGAGCCAGCUAGGGGCGACCGGAACAAACGGUGGAGCGGUGAAAUGCGUAGAUAUGCGGAGGAACACCGAUGGCGAAGGCAAUCCCCUGGGCCUGCACUGACGCUCAUGCACGAAAGCGUGGGGAGCAAACAGG